RNAcentral lists this transfer RNA (73 nucleotides) under Marmota monax (woodchuck). RNAcentral's name for it is "tRNA.Val". It matches the Rfam family "tRNA". Rfam says of the family: Transfer RNA (tRNA) molecules are approximately 80 nucleotides in length. The record is from RNAcentral. Lineage: Eukaryota; Metazoa; Chordata; Mammalia; Rodentia; Sciuridae.
GGAGAUGUAGCUCAGUGGUAGAGCAAUCACCUAACAUAGGCAAAGUCCUGGGUUCAAUCCCCAGCAUCACACA